RNAcentral lists this ribosomal RNA (253 nucleotides) under uncultured bacterium. RNAcentral's name for it is "partial 16S ribosomal RNA". It matches the Rfam family "Bacterial small subunit ribosomal RNA", at positions 524 to 776 of the family's 1533-position model. The record is from RNAcentral.
UACGAAGGGGGCUAGCGUUGCUCGGAAUCACUGGGCGUAAAGCGCACGUAGGCGGACUCUUAAGUCGGUGGUGAAAUCCUGGAGCUCAACUCCAGAACUGCCUUCGAUACUGAGAGUCUCGAGUCCGAGAGAGGUGAGUGGAACUGCGAGUGUAGAGGUGAAAUUCGUAGAUAUUCGCAAGAACACCAGUGGCGAAGGCGGCUCACUGGCUCGGUACUGACGCUGAGGAACGAAAGCCAGGGGAGCAAACGGG